CGAAUGCUGACAUAAGUAACGAUAAAGCGGGUGAAAAGCCCGCUCGCCGGAAGACCAAGGGUUCCUGUCCAACGUUAAUCGGGGCAGGGUGAGUCGACCCCUAAGGCGAGGCCGAAAGGCGUAGUCGAUGGGAAACAGGUUAAUAUUCCUGUACUUGGUGUUACUGCGAAGGGGGGACGGAGAAGGCUAUGUUGGCCGGGCGACGGUUGUCCCGGUUUAAGCGUGUAGGCUGGUUUUCCAGGCAAAUCCGGAAAAUCAAGGCUGAGGCGUGAUGACGAGGCACUACGGUGCUGAAGCAACAAAUGCCCUGCUUCCAGGAAAAGCCUCUAAGCAUCAGGUAACAUCAAAUCGUACCCCAAACCGACACAGGUGGUCAGGUAGAGAAUACCAAGGCGCUUGAGAGAACUCGGGUGAAGGAACUAGGCAAAAUGGUGCCGUAACUUCGGGAGAAGGCACGCUGAUAUGUAGGUGAAGUCCCUCGCGGAUGGAGCUGAAAUCAGUCGAAGAUACCAGCUGGCUGCAACUGUUUAUUAAAAACACAGCACUGUGCAAACACGAAAGUGGACGUAUACGGUGUGACGCCUGCCCGGUGCCGGAAGGUUAAUUGAUGGGGUCAGCGCAAGCGAAGCUCUUGAUCGAAGCCCCGGUAAACGGCGGCCGUAACUAUAACGGUCCUAAGGUAGCGAAAUUCCUUGUCGGGUAAGUUCCGACCUGCACGAAUGGCGUAAUGAUGGCCAGGCUGUCUCCACCCGAGACUCAGUGAAAUUGAACUCGCUGUGAAGAUGCAGUGUACCCGCGGCAAGACGGAAAGACCCCGUGAACCUUUACUAUAGCUUGACACUGAACAUUGAGCCUUGAUGUGUAGGAUAGGUGGGAGGCUUUGAAGUGUGGACGCCAGUCUGCAUGGAGCCGACCUUGAAAUACCACCCUUUAAUGUUUGAUGUUCUAACGUUGACCCGUAAUCCGGGUUGCGGACAGUGUCUGGUGGGUAGUUUGACUGGGGCGGUCUCCUCCUAAAGAGUAACGGAGGAGCACGAAGGUUGGCUAAUCCUGGUCGGACAUCAGGAGGUUAGUGCAAUGGCAUAAGCCAGCUUGACUGCGAGCGUGACGGCGCGAGCAGGUGCGAAAGCAGGUCAUAGUGAUCCGGUGGUUCUGAAUGGAAGGGCCAUCGCUCAACGGAUAAAAGGUACUCCGGGGAUAACAGGCUGAUACCGCCCAAGAGUUCAUAUCGACGGCGGUGUUUGGCACCUCGAUGUCGGCUCAUCACAUCCUGGGGCUGAAGUAGGUCCCAAGGGUAUGGCUGUUCGCCAUUUAAAGUGGUACGCGAGCUGGGUUUAGAACGUCGUGAGACAGUUCGGUCCCUAUCUGCCGUGGGCGCUGGAGAAUUGAGGGGGGCUGCUCCUAGUACGAGAGGACCGGAGUGGACGCAUCACUGGUGUUCGGGUUGUCAUGCCAAUGGCACUGCCCGGUAGCUAAAUGCGGAAGAGAUAAGUGCUGAAAGCAUCUAAGCACGAAACUUGCCCCGAGAUGAGUUCUCCCUGACUCCUUGAGAGUCCUGAAGGAACG
Molecule: ribosomal RNA, 1566 nt
Filed under: Escherichia coli
Lineage: Bacteria; Pseudomonadati; Pseudomonadota; Gammaproteobacteria; Enterobacterales; Enterobacteriaceae
Description: partial 23S ribosomal RNA
Rfam family: Bacterial large subunit ribosomal RNA
Source: RNAcentral